This 588-nucleotide small RNA is filed under the name Trichoderma harzianum. RNAcentral's name for it is "eukaryotic LSU rRNA". The stretch from base 213 to 366 matches the Rfam family "5.8S ribosomal RNA". The record is from RNAcentral. Lineage: Eukaryota; Fungi; Ascomycota; Sordariomycetes; Hypocreales; Hypocreaceae.
GGGAUCAUUACCCGAGUUUACAACUCCCAAACCCAAUGUGAACGUUACCAAACUGUUGCCUCGGCGGGAUCUCUGCCCCGGGUGCGUCGCAGCCCCGGACCAAGGCGCCCGCCGGAGGACCAACCAAAACUCUUAUUGUAUACCCCCUCGCGGGUUUUUUUAUAAUCUGAGCCUUCUCGGCGCCUCUCGUAGGCGUUUCGAAAAUGAAUCAAAACUUUCAACAACGGAUCUCUUGGUUCUGGCAUCGAUGAAGAACGCAGCGAAAUGCGAUAAGUAAUGUGAAUUGCAGAAUUCAGUGAAUCAUCGAAUCUUUGAACGCACAUUGCGCCCGCCAGUAUUCUGGCGGGCAUGCCUGUCCGAGCGUCAUUUCAACCCUCGAACCCCUCCGGGGGGUCGGCGUUGGGGAUCGGCCCUGCCUUGGCGGUGGCCGUCUCCGAAAUACAGUGGCGGUCUCGCCGCAGCCUCUCCUGCGCAGUAGUUUGCACACUCGCAUCGGGAGCGCGGCGCGUCCACAGCCGUUAAACACCCAACUUCUGAAAUGUUGACCUCGGAUCAGGUAGGAAUACCCGCUGAAACUUAAGCAUAUCA